GCCCACAUCGGCCUCCCAAAGUGCUGGGAUUACAGGCGUGAGCCACCACACCCGGCCUCCUAACUGAUGUUUCAGUUUGGAUCUGAAGAACGGGAAUUUUCAUAAUUUCUUUUUCAAGGUUUUUGAGAAUUAGUUUGUUGCCAUUUCCGAACUUCCAUCCCAUUGUGAUGUGCAUAACCAGUCGGCUUCCUUAGCCUCAUCCUCCACCCAGGGAAGCUCCGACCACGCCAGCACCAGGAAGGCCAGCCGGGGAGCAGCCUGGCCCAGGGGUCAGGAGCCGGGGCCUGUGUGACUGGGGCCUGUGUGGCUGGCACCUGGUGGAUGUGAGCCCCAGGACAGGGAGUUUCUGUGCCCAUGAGAUGGAAGCAGCUCACUUCUUGGCCCCUUUCAAGAAUCUGGGAAGAGCUCCAGGAGUCAGAGGUCUGGGUGCCAGUCCCAGCUCUGCUCCAAACUGGCCGUGUGACCUCAGCGAAGUUAUUUCCCAGUUUUGUUUUCUUCUUUUACAAAAUGACAGGGUGAGAGUCGUGAUUGGUUUUCUUAGUGUCAGAAGUGCUGAACUCUGUUAGAAAGCGUCUCAGGUUGUUUUGUUUGACAGUGACUACCCACUUUGCAGAGACCUGGGCUGCCCGCUCUCUGGGGAAUACUGGAGGUUAUGCCCCAUCUCCUGUCCUGUGGGAGAACCCACCCUCCGAACGAGGCUCUGGUGAGGUUUUCACAAUCAGUAACAAGGCCGAUCUCCAUCAAUGGAAGUCUCCCCGUUUGAGAUGGGGUGUGUGCUCCUUACCCAGGCUCCUGAACAAAACCCACCUCCUUGUCUUGGCACCACUGAGAGUGCACACCGAGGGGGCUCCAGCACCAGAUUGUGGGAACAGUCACGAGAAAGCAGCUCAGACUUCACACCCAGAGCCCUUGAUCCCUACACACCCAGUAUUCCUUCACAGCGCUCUUCCUGCUUCCUGGACACGUGGAACUGCUUCUCCAUCGGGGAGGAUCCAUCCAGAGCCCUUUGGGUGGGUGCUCAGGGCAAUAGCUGCUGCCUCUUCCUUCUGCUCAGUGCUGGGAGGCGUUACACUUUCCCCAUAUGGCACGGAGCAGAACGUGCACCUUUGGCUCUGGAAGGAAUGAACAUCCUACCCGUUAGUUAGCCCUGGGAGUCACUGACUCGGUUCUUCCCUGGACACCAAUGUCCUAUGGAGCACACAGAAAGCCACGGAAGUGUGGUCUGCGGGUUGAGACGGACUCCGUUCAUGUGGAUAAGCAGAGGAAAUUUGGCAGAAACGACCAAAUGCAAAAUACGUGUAGCAGCCUGAGACCGGCCGUCUACUGAAACAAAGGAUGCAGUUCAGUCGGAAACCACGCUUAGCUGAGUAGCUGUCUUUAGCCAUCCAGGCCCUGAGAACCAAUGAACAACCCAGCUUGGCCGCUUAGAACAUUUUUUCUAUACUUGAGUUAAAUAGAUAUCCAAGAACCAUUACUCGUUUUUAAUGUGGAGAAGUCGGUAUUCUAUUCUCGUGUUCUAUGUUUUUUAAAGUGGCAAUUUGAAUUAUUUCGUGCGAUAGAAAACCUUAAACACAAAGUAACGUUUCUAACAAAAGGGCUGUCGAUCAAGUGACAAACACGUCCUACUUUUAGAUACAAGCACGACUGAGGCAACGGCACGAAGACGCCUAAAGUGGGCUGCUGGGGAGACAAGAUCUGGCCGCGAAUGGAACUCGCGGCAGCUCAUUAACGGGACCGUCCAGCAGGAAGGUGGGUUGGCAGCCUUCUCCCAGGGCUCCCCACGAUCCCUACCCCUGGUGUGGCGUGGCCUUCCUCCUCACAUGUCGUCUGGACCAAGCAGUGUGUUGUUCUCAUCCAUAAAGAGUGAUGGGCCGGGCACGAUGGCCACACCUGUGAUCCCAGCACUGUGGGAGGCUGAGGCGGGAGGAUCUCCUGAGCCCAGGAGUUUGACACCAGCCUGGGUAGCAUAGGGAGACCCUGUCUCUACAGAAAAAAAGUUAGCCAGGUAUUCCAGAGGCUGAGGUGGGAGGAUCGCUUGAACCCAGGAGGUGGAGACUGCAGUGAGCCGUGAUCGCACCACUGCACUCCAACCUGGGCAACAGACUGAGACCCAGUUUCUAAAACAAAUAAUAAAAAGGCAGGGUGCAGUGGCUCAUACCUGUAAUCCCAGCACGUUGGGAGGCCAAGGUGGGCGGAUCACUUGAGGUCAGGAGUUCGAGACCAGCUGGCCCACAUGGUAAAACCCCAUCUCUACUAAAAUGCAAAAAUCAACCGGGCACAGUGGCACACGCCUGUAAUCCCAGCUCUUCAGGAGGCCGAGGCAGGAGAACUGGGAGGCAGAGAUUGCAGUGAGCUGAGAUCGUGCCACUGCACUCCAGGCUGGGUGACAGAGCUAGACACCAUCUUGAAAAAAAAUAAAAGUUAAAUAAAAAGAGUGAUGAGGCAUCCUGAGAUUCAUUUAUAAAAUGCCGUGAUUCAGGUCUCAGGGCACUGUCGCCCCUACUCACUUUGAUGAAGCCAGUGCUGGGUUGCUGCUGAGGUGGGGAGGUUCAUGGGCCAGGAACUGAAGGCAGCCAUGAGAGCCAGACCCCUCCACCACCCCCAAGACAGCAGGGAACUCACUCCAACAGCCACCCUGGGAUGCUGCCACAGCUGAGCCUGGAGGUGACCGUGACCCUGGCUGACGUCGGACUGCAGCUUUGUAAGGGAGACUGAGCCGGGACCCAGACCUACAAAAGCUGAGAUGAUAAACACUGUUUUAAGCUGCUGUGUGUCGCAGUGACUCGUGUGGUAGUGGAUUUCUAGCAGAGCCGUCGUUCGUGUCUGCCUUCUCUCAGCUCAACACUCUGUAGGGCCACCCAUGCCGUUGUGCAUGUCAACGGUGGAUUUUUUAUUGCGAGUAAUAUUUCAUUCCAUUGCAUGCUCACACCUCGGUUUGUUUAACUGUCUACCUGUUGAUGAGCUCUGGGACAUAUGCAGUUCUGGGCUAUUAUGAGUAAAGCUGCUUUUAACAUUUAAAUACAA
RNAcentral lists this long non-coding RNA (3024 nucleotides) under Homo sapiens (human). RNAcentral describes it as "HSALNT0289750". Lineage: Eukaryota; Metazoa; Chordata; Mammalia; Primates; Hominidae. The record is from RNAcentral.